AUUGAACGCUGGCGGCAGGCCUAACACAUGCAAGUCGAACGGUAACAGGAAACAGCUUGCUGUUUCGCUGACGAGUGGCGGACGGGUGAGUAAUGUCUGGGAAACUGCCUGAUGGAGGGGGAUAACUACUGGAAACGGUAGCUAAUACCGCAUAACGUCGCAAGACCAAAGAGGGGGACCUUCGGGCCUCUUGCCAUCGGAUGUGCCCAGAUGGGAUUAGCUAGUAGGUGGGGUAACGGCUCACCUAGGCGACGAUCCCUAGCUGGUCUGAGAGGAUGAACAGCCACACUGGAACUGAGACACGGUCCAGACUCCUACGGGAGGCAGCAGUGGGGAAUAUUGCACAAUGGGCGCAAGCCUGAUGCAGCCAUGCCGCGUGUAUGAAGAAGGCCUUCGGGUUGUAAAGUACUUUCAGCGGGGAGGAAGGGAGUAAGUUAAUACCUUUGCUCAUUGACGUUACCCGCAGAAGAAGCACCGGCUAACUCCGUGCCAGCCGCCGCUGUAA
This 505-nucleotide ribosomal RNA is filed under the name uncultured bacterium. RNAcentral's name for it is "partial 16S ribosomal RNA". It matches the Rfam family "Bacterial small subunit ribosomal RNA", at positions 30 to 523 of the family's 1533-position model. The record is from RNAcentral.